Molecule: ribosomal RNA, 503 nt
Filed under: uncultured bacterium
Lineage: Bacteria
Description: partial 16S ribosomal RNA
Rfam family: Bacterial small subunit ribosomal RNA
Source: RNAcentral
AUUGAACGCUGGCGGCAGGCUUAACACAUGCAAGUCGAGCGGGGUGAUGGUGCUUGCACUAUCACUUAGCGGCGGACGGGUGAGUAAUGCUUAGGAAUCUGCCUAUUAGUGGGGGACAACAUCUCGAAAGGGAUGCUAAUACCGCAUACGUCCUACGGGAGAAAGCAGGGGAUCACUUGUGACCUUGCGCUAAUAUAUGAGCCUAAGUCGGAUUAGCUAGUUGGUGGGGUAAAGGCCUACCAAGGCGACAAUCAGUAGCGGGUCUGAGAGGAUGAUCCGCCACACUGGGACUGAGACACGGCCCAGACUCCUACGGGAGGCAGCAGUGGGGAAUAUUGGACAAUGGGGGGAACCCUGAUCCAGCCAUGCCGCGUGUGUGAAGAAGGCCCUAUGGUUGUAAAGCACUUUAAGCGAGGAGGAGGCUCUUUUGGUUAAUACCCAAGAUGAGUGGACGUUACUCGCAGAAUAAGCACCGGCUAACUCUGUGCCAGCAGCCGCAGUAA